ACACCACUCGCCGCCCACUCCUCCCAGCCCCCCACGGUGGUCGCGCGACCGGGGGGGAAGAAGAGGGUCGUGCGCGCGGACUCUGCGUGUUCCGGGCGUUGUCACAAACGCCCGAGUGCACCGAACCUUGUGAACGAAACUUCUACUGCCUUGCCGCACAGAGUUGUUGACGGCGGUCCCCUCGGCGGCGACUCUCGACUCGUUUAUUGCUCCAAGUCUAUAUCGGUAGGGGUUAUUCCGGUUGUGCGCCUCUCCAAAAACCCCGCCACCGCGGGGGACGGAGGCGCCCCCAACUACUUUCG
RNAcentral lists this unclassified non-coding RNA (302 nucleotides) under Chorda rigida. Its description in RNAcentral is "ITS2". The record is from RNAcentral. Lineage: Eukaryota; Phaeophyceae; Laminariales; Chordaceae.